GUAAUAGUUAUGUUCUUGAAACCCAAAGAAUUUGGCGGUAUUUUAGUCCAUUUAGAGGAACCUGUCUCGUAAUCGAUAUUCCACGAUUUUAUGUACUUAAUUUUGUUUGUCAGUUUAUAUACCUCCGUCUUAAGAGUGUCUUUUUAGAGUAAAUUCUCUUAAUAAUUUAAUGUAAUUAUGUCAGGUCAAGGUGUAGCCUAUAAUUAAGUGUAUGGUGGGUUACAAUAAUUUUAUUUAUACGGAUAAAGGGUUGUAUUUGUUUUUUUUGAAGGUGGAUUUAAAAGUAAAUUUUUCUUAUUGGAUUGUUGAAAUUGGCUCUAAAUUAUGCACACAUCG
RNAcentral lists this ribosomal RNA (336 nucleotides) under Teinopodagrion venale. Its description in RNAcentral is "partial 12S ribosomal RNA". The record is from RNAcentral. Lineage: Eukaryota; Metazoa; Arthropoda; Insecta; Odonata; Megapodagrionidae.